Molecule: long non-coding RNA, 337 nt
Filed under: Rattus norvegicus (Norway rat)
Lineage: Eukaryota; Metazoa; Chordata; Mammalia; Rodentia; Muridae
Description: long non-coding RNA NONRATT017988
Source: RNAcentral
CCCGCUAUGGCAGAGAAAAGUGUUCACAGCCCCGGAGUGUGUGUCCAUACAUGGUGAAUGGAGACCACGGAACAUCCAGCGACAGAAGCCAGAAUAAGGGCUGGUGACCAAGACAGGGAUUCAUGACAUCCAGCGGGGAGAAAGGUAACCACCAUAGCUUUGCCUCCUCCCUGCAGCUAUGCACAGGGCCAACCUGGGGGAAAGCUGCAGGCACAGAUCAGACCAGAGCCACAGCCACCUUUGUGAUCAUCUUGUCUACCAAGAGGCUCUUGGGGAAAGGCCCAGACCUCUGCCUCCCACCAAGGCUCUGCACAUGCAGCCCCUAUAGGACCACACU